Biomphalaria glabrata is the source of this 299-nucleotide long non-coding RNA. RefSeq lists it as uncharacterized. The transcript is spliced from 2 exons. The record is from RefSeq and is a predicted model, not a curated record. NCBI's taxonomy places the organism in Eukaryota, Metazoa, Mollusca, Gastropoda, Planorbidae.
AAACUGAUCAAACCAACUAUCUAACAAAAUCACUACAACUACUACACUAGACCUAGAUCUACACAAACACACUACAAUAAAUUAGUCUAGUGUAGUAGUUGUAGUGAUUUUGUUAGAUAGUUGGUUUUAUCAGUUAGUGUUAGAUAGUUGGUUUGGUUAGUUUGUUGGUGUUUGUAGUGGCGUAGAUUUAGAGGGUUUUAGUUAGUUGCUGGGUUCAGUUGUGGUUAGUGUAUAUAUUAUAUUUUUUAUUAUUGAUUUAUUUUUUUGUAUGUUAAUAAAGUUUUGUUUUGUUUUAUUUA